RNAcentral lists this ribosomal RNA (530 nucleotides) under Didymella macrostoma. RNAcentral's name for it is "eukaryotic LSU rRNA". The stretch from base 180 to 333 matches the Rfam family "5.8S ribosomal RNA". The record is from RNAcentral. Lineage: Eukaryota; Fungi; Ascomycota; Dothideomycetes; Pleosporales; Didymellaceae.
CCGGGGCUGAGUGCGCUACGUGACCUGCGGGAGGUCAUUACCUAGAGUUGUAGGCUUUGCCUGCUAUCUCUUACCCAUGUCUUUUAAGUACCUUCGUUUCCUCGGCGGGUUCGCCCGCCGAUUGGACAAUUUAAACCAUUUGCAGUUGCAAUCAGCGUCUGAAAAAACUUAAUAGUUACAACUUUCAACAACGGAUCUCUUGGUUCUGGCAUCGAUGAAGAACGCAGCGAAAUGCGAUAAGUAGUGUGAAUUGCAGAAUUCAGUGAAUCAUCGAAUCUUUGAACGCACAUUGCGCCCCUUGGUAUUCCAUGGGGCAUGCCUGUUCGAGCGUCAUUUGUACCUUCAAGCUCUGCUUGGUGUUGGGUGUUUGUCUCGCCUCUGCGUGUAGACUCGCCUCAAAACAAUUGGCAGCCGGCGUAUUGAUUUCGGAGCGCAGUACAUCUCGCGCUUUGCACUCAUAACGACGACGUCCAAAAGUACAUUUUUACACUCUUGACCUCGGAUCAGGUAGGGAUACCCGCUGAACUUAA